Molecule: ribosomal RNA, 19 nt
Filed under: Perkinsus marinus
Lineage: Eukaryota; Perkinsozoa; Perkinsida; Perkinsidae
Description: partial 28S ribosomal RNA
Source: RNAcentral
AGAAGGGCCCUGGAUGUAA